This 460-nucleotide ribosomal RNA is filed under the name uncultured bacterium. RNAcentral's name for it is "partial 16S ribosomal RNA". It matches the Rfam family "Bacterial small subunit ribosomal RNA", at positions 338 to 795 of the family's 1533-position model. The record is from RNAcentral.
CCUACGGGAGGCAGCAGUGAGGAAUAUUGGUCAAUGGACGAGAGCCUGACCCAGCCAAGCAGCGUGAAGGAUGACUGCUCUAUGGGUUGUAAAUUUUUUUUAUAAAGGAAUAAAGUGAGGCACGUGUGCCUGUUUGUACGUACUUUAUGAAUAAGGAUCGGCUAACUCCGUGCCAGCAGCCGCGGUAAUACGGAGGAUUCGAGCGUUAUCUGGAUUUAUUGGGUUUAAAGGGAGCGUAGAUGGGUUGGCAAGUCAGUUGUGAAAGUCUGGGGCUCAACCGUAAAAUUGCAAUUGAUACUGGCAGUCUUGAGUACAGGUGAGGUAGACGGAAUUCGUGGUGUAGCGGUGAAAUGCGUAGAUAUUAGGAGGAACACCAGUUGCGAAGGCAGCUUACUGAACUGCAACUGACAUUGAUGCUCGAAAGUGUGGGUAUCAAACAGGAUUAGAUACCCCUGUAGUC